AUAUACAUACAUACAUACAUGUUGUAGAAUUAUAGAAUUCUUGAAAUUAUCUAAGCUAAUGCUUUGUCAGGAAGAAAUGUGCUGAAUAAUAAAAUGUGUAUUUACUAAAAGAACCUUGAAACUAACAAUACUAACUACUCAAAAUGGCUGCCAAAGCACCCCUCCCAUCGAGUGAACACCUCGUGCUAACAAGAUGGCGCCUACAUCUUGUGUCCACUCCCGUGUCAAGGAUGACAUCACCUCUUGAUAGGAGGAUAUCUAACUAACCACUUAACACCUGGACCAAUCAAUAGUGUCUAUUUGCUGUUAUCUUGAAUUCUUCAGUGAUGUAAUAAUGCCUUUAAAAGGGUCUGCGCACCCAUUUUCUGUCAGAAGCCAUUAAACUUCUCCGAAGUUCUUUCAUUAACCUGAACUCUGUGUCUCAGUGUGAAUUUACUUCUGCGUGCACGCAACUUUAUUAUCUUUAAUUUGGACAGGAACAGAUAGUCAUUCAAACUAAUUGGUUUGCAGUAAAUUAUCUACAACAUAUAUAUAUAUAUAUCUACCGAAAUCAGCGAGACCCCCCCCUGCCCCGCACAUCCCCGGCAAUAAUCAACACCAUAAACAUUUGGGACAAAACAACUCAAAAAAGCGGUCUCACAACACUCACCACUAACCCCGCUGCUCCGCAACACCCAUUUCCCACCGGGCAUGACACCCAAAGACUUUGCCCGCUUUGAAGCAAAUGACCUCACCCGACUAUACCACUUCUACAGAAACCAACAACCAAUACCUUUCUCAGACCUCCCACAAACCACACCAUACCGCACUUUCGACAUGUUCCGCCACAUCCAAAUCAAAAGCUUCCUGGAAACACCAGCAAUCAAACAAGCAGGUACUAAAGCACUCACACCCUUCGAAAAACAAUGCAUACAAUCACCAACACAAAAAAAACAACAAAUAUCCGCACUCUACACACACAUAAAUCAAAACGUCAAAGACGGAGCCCUUACAUAUGUGUCGGCUUGGGAGAGGGACCCAUCCGAUUGGGCCGAGAUCUGGGAGGCCAUAGCCUCCAUAUCAAUAUGCGUCAACCAUAAGGAACAGGCAUACAAGACGCUAAUGAGAUGGUAUCUUACCCCCCUAAAGCUCAAACAGAUGGGCAGGUCAGACACAGACUCCUGCUGGAAGGGAUGCGGACAAAAGGGUACCUUCACAUGUGGUGGGACUGCACAACUCUGGCAACAAGUAGCUUCCAUGGUAUCGAGAAUCCUCCACACAGAUAUAUCACUAGACCCCUGGACGUGGCUCCUAUCCAAACCACUAACCAACACACCCAGGGCUCAAAACAAACUAAUAGCCAAAAUAGCACUAGCCACCAGGAGAGCCAUAGCAGAAAAAUGGGGCAGCCCAGACACCCAGUCAAUGGACACAGAAAAACGCAAAAUAAAAGACGCAAUUAAAAUGGACGAAAUGUCCGCACUGGUCCACGACACGACUAAACACUUCCAUAAAAUCUGGGACCCCGCUAGCAGCGCAUCGGAGCGGCCACGCUUUUGUGAACUCCGACUCAAACGCGACAUAAAAGUACCCUUUUCACGGCGGAAACAGAUCCAAAAGAACCCACACAGCUUCCUAAGCCUCACUGCAGACCAUGGGCCGAAAAUCUAAAAAGGCAAAAGCUGAGAAAGGCACUCACGGCAGAGACAUCGGCGACAUGCUGAGGAACACACAACAGGCCGUAUGGUCCAAAAUGGCGGACGACCUUGCCUCAUAUUCCUCGGAGGAGCUUGAUACAGACCUCACGGAGGGAACGAGCUUCGGUCCCACACCAGACCACUACAAUACACCUAAAGCGCCUGGGGAACCAGUCACAGCGGAUCAGUUAAAGAAAAUGCUGGCUGAUCUGCGCAGGGACCUGGCAGCGGACAUGGCCUACUACAGAGAGGCCAUAGAAGGAGCCCAGUCCAAAAUCUCGCGGCUGGAGGCCUGCUCGAGUACACAGGACUCCAGAAUAGCCAAAGUGGAACAACAAAUGCCAGAUCUGUCGAAGCAGCAGACCGCCACCACGGAACGGCUAGAUGCCUUAGAAGAUCAGCGGAGGAGGUACAACUUAAAAAUCCGAGGAAUACCCGACUCAGUUGGCCUCUCUGAGCUGCCCCACUACAUUAGACGGUUCCUGGGAGCCCUAAUCCCACCUAAACAAAUGAAAUCCCUGAGACUAGACGGGAUGUUCCGACUACCAAAGCCGGCAAGAGCUCCAGCUGCCGCACCUACAGACCUCAUACUGCGCUUCCAAUCCCUGUCGGACAAAGCUACACUCCUAGCUGCACUACGUAACAAGACACCUUUGCCAUUUGAGGGCACAACUCUAACAAUCUUCCCAGAUAUUACCAAGAGCACCCUUACCUGGAGGAAAUCAAUGCAACCCCUCCUGCAGCACCUCCGAGCCAAAGAGAUGCCCUACCGAUGGGGAACACCGCGAGCAGUAAUCUUCACCCAUAACGGGAUAACUCACAAGGCACAGACCUUCCAGGAACUAGAGUCACUCCUCACGACCAUGGGCAUAAUUCCAGCAGCGCCAACGAAAGGCACAGGACUGUCCCAGCUUGACCUGGCGAAUGUACGGGAGUUCACCCCGAGGGAGACCCAGAAGGCAUUGCCAAAUAGACACCCCACUUGAGGCAUUAAGGAUAGCCCAAGCUAUGGGGUCACUAUAAUUCCGCCAAGAACGUUCCUCACAUAGUUUGAGACUGCUACUAGAAGGUCUAUCAGUUACUUUGUUAAAGUUUUAUUUUCGUUGACAGUUACAAUUCUUUUUUGUCUUUUUUACACAUACUCACAUACAAUCCGUGCUUAACGACAUAGAGCUGCUCCACACACACAUGAGACAGCUGACGGAACUAGUCACACACAAAUAGGCCGCCCGCACAGAAGAACUCGACAAGUUCACACACAGAUAGGCUAUCACGACACAACUUCAACGAGGCUAUACAAAUCUGCUCACAGCCAUGGCGGAGUAGCCUUUCUCCCCCCCACCCCCCUCCCCGGUCUUUCUUUACCAGUCAUGGGUUGAGUCCAACCUCAAACACGCAUACACAGCUCUCGGGCUAGGGGGACCCCCCCACCUGACUAACACAAAUCUAGAUUUACACUUAAUUAACUCAUUCACGGGGGGUACAAGUGAUGUAUACUGUUUUUGUUUAUAAACUUGCAACCAAACCAUAAAAAUGUGCAAUGUACACUAAUGCCCAAUAUUGUUUUGAAAUGUUGACAUCUCGGUUGGUACAUGUUGUUGUGGCAUUGCCUGCUAUUAUGUAUUUUAUGAGCACAAUAAAAUAAAGAAUUUAAAAAAAAAAAAAAAAUCUGGGACCCAUGGUUCUACGAAUUCCCACUCCCCACCUGAAACACAUACAGACCCACCCCACACAAAGUCACACCACAGACACUCCACCCACAAACACCAUAUUGAACCACCAUCCAUCCCCCUUACCCCAACCCUCCCCCUCCCCCCCCCCACACCUGGGGAGACGCAAUCCCACAGACGCAAACCACAACCCAUGACCACCAAAACCGAGAGAAUCAUCAGGCAACAUCUCCCUGGAGAUGAAUCUUAACCCACAAACCAGGACACACCGUAACACACUCAGGGAGACUGAACUCAACCGAGAUACCAAGAGGCGCCCCGAAACAGCUAGACCUCCACUAACACACAACAGAAUCACCACAACACAAAACAAAUGAGCAAAACCACAACCCAGAACAAAAUGGGGCACCCAGAACACACACACACGAACCAAAAUAGACAGGGCGACACCAUGCACGGGCCACAAAUCCUGUGCACCACAUGACAAAUAUCGCAUAACACAAAUCAACAUGGACACUUCAUUACGCAAAAGGCUCACAUAGGUCAACACACUCUCUAUCCCAACUGGCUGCACCAAAAUAAAAAGAAUCAGAACUAAAAUAAAGGCACAAAGGAAAAUGUGGGUGAGUGUACCCUACCCCCCACCCUUCUUUUUUUCUGUACCCCACCCAAACCCCAAAACAAUGAUGACAGACAUGUAAAACUGUUAAGCUUGGUCAAAUGCCAUGUUAGAACAUCCCCAAGUUUUCAUUUCUGUACCCCCUCCCCAAACAACAAAUCUUCUAAAAUAAAGAAUUUAUAAAAAAAAACAGUUGCUUUUUUGAUAUAGAAUAUAUUAACAAUGUAAUUGUACUCUCCUCACUCUCAUCGAACACAAGGUUCAUUCCCAUAAAUCCCUAUUUGCCCUUCCUUGCACUUUAAAAGUCUUAUAUGUUGUCCAGCUGUCAAAUCUCAAUACUACAAGGUAUGCAAAAACUUGAACAAGCUACUAAUGAAGAACCUGCCCCCCCAGAGCAUGUAUACAUGUACUGUACCACAAACUGCAUAUCUGUUUUAGAUCUCCACAUCCUAAGACACGCAAGCUGAGAAAGGUAUAUGGUUGCACGCACUUGUUCUACGUAUACUUUGUAGACAACGAAAGUCAAUGCAACCAGAAUAGCUGGUACUUGUAAAAACAAAAGAAAUGUGCCUGCUUAUUAAACAUCAUUGUCUUAACUCGUAAACUUUGUUUAUCCCACGUAUCACCUGUGUGUGGCUGAAUGUCUAUUUCAUGUGCUUUUCUUUAUAAUAUAAUAAUUUAUAAUAAUUAUAAAAACCUAAAAAUAAAGAUGGUCAAAAAAAAAUACGUAAUUUAAAAUGAAA
RNAcentral lists this long non-coding RNA (4708 nucleotides) under Pelobates cultripes (western spadefoot toad). Lineage: Eukaryota; Metazoa; Chordata; Amphibia; Anura; Pelobatidae. The record is from RNAcentral.